Molecule: ribosomal RNA, 471 nt
Filed under: uncultured bacterium
Lineage: Bacteria
Description: partial 16S ribosomal RNA
Rfam family: Bacterial small subunit ribosomal RNA
Source: RNAcentral
GACGAACGCUGGCGGCGUGCUUAACACAUGCAAGUCGAACGAUGAAGCCUAGCUUGCUAGGUGGAUUAGUGGCGAACGGGUGAGUAAUACGUGAGUGACCUACCUUUGACUCUGGGAUAAGCCUGGGAAACUGGGUCUAAUACCGGAUACGACCAAUCUCCGCAUGGGGUGUUGGUGGAAAGCGUUAUGGAGUGGUUUUAGAUGGGCUCACGGCCUAUCAGCUUGUUGGUGAGGUAAUGGCUUACCAAGGCGACGACGGGUAGCCGGCCUGAGAGGGUGACCGGCCGCACUGGGACUGAGACACGGCCCAGACUCCUACGGGAGGCAGCAGUGGGGAAUAUUGCACAAUGGGCGCAAGCCUGAUGCAGCGACGCCGCGUGAGGGAUGACGGCCUUCGGGUUGUAAACCUCUGUUAGCAUCGAAGAAGCGAUAGUGACGGUAGGUGCAGAGAAAGCGCCGGCUAACUACGUG